GCCGGGCAUGGUGGUGCAUGCCUGUAGUCCCAGCUACUCUGGAAGCUGAGACAGGAGAAUCACUUGAACCCAGGAGGUAGAGGUUGCAGUGAGCUGAGACUGCACCACUGCAUUCUAGCCUGGGUGACAGAGUGAGACUCCGUCUCAA
Molecule: non-coding RNA, 148 nt
Filed under: Pan troglodytes (chimpanzee)
Lineage: Eukaryota; Metazoa; Chordata; Mammalia; Primates; Hominidae
Source: Rfam by way of RNAcentral